RNAcentral lists this ribosomal RNA (229 nucleotides) under uncultured bacterium. RNAcentral describes it as "partial 16S ribosomal RNA". It matches the Rfam family "Bacterial small subunit ribosomal RNA", at positions 568 to 796 of the family's 1533-position model. The record is from RNAcentral.
UGCGUAGGCGGGGCAAUUAGUCAGUGGUGAAAUCCUGCGGCUUAACCGUAGAACUGCCAUUGAUACUGUUGCCCUUGAGUAUAGUUGAGGUGGGCGGAAUGUGUAGUGUAGCGGUGAAAUGCAUAGAGAUUACACAGAACACCAAUUGCGAAGGCAGCUCACUAAGCUAUAACUGACGCUGAGGCACGAAAGCGUGGGGAGCGAACAGGAUUAGAUACCCUGGUAGUCC